This 532-nucleotide ribosomal RNA is filed under the name uncultured bacterium. RNAcentral's name for it is "bacterial SSU rRNA". It matches the Rfam family "Bacterial small subunit ribosomal RNA", at positions 8 to 526 of the family's 1533-position model. The record is from RNAcentral.
AGAGUUUGAUCAUGGCUCAGGACGAACGCUGGCGGCGUGCUUAACACAUGCAAGUGGUGCGACGAACCAGGGCUUGCCCUGGGGCAAAGCCGCGAACGGGUGAGUAACACGUGAGUAACCUGCCCCGAUGACCGGGACAACCCGAGGAAACUCGGGCUAAUACCGGAUGUGGCGCACAGGCAUCAGCCUGUUCGCUAAAGGAAGCUUCGGCCUCCGCAUUGGGAGGGGCUCGCGGCCCAUUAGCUAGUUGGUGAGGUAACGGCUCACCAAGGCCGCGAUGGGUAGCUGGUCUGAGAGGACGAUCAGCCACACUGGGACUGAGACACGGCCCAGACUCCUACGGGAGGCAGCAGUGGGGAAUCUUGCGCAAUGCGCGAAAGCGUGACGCAGCAACGCCGCGUGGGGGAAGAAGGCCUUCGGGUUGUAAACCCCUUUCAGGAGGGACGAAGGUGCGGCGGCGAAUAGCUUGCCGUACUGACGGUACCUCCACAAGAAGCCCCGGCUAACUACGUGCCAGCAGCGGCGGUAAUAC